This 1008-nucleotide long non-coding RNA is filed under the name Equus caballus (horse). RNAcentral describes it as "lncRNA (ENSECAG00000059677.1)". The record is from RNAcentral. Lineage: Eukaryota; Metazoa; Chordata; Mammalia; Perissodactyla; Equidae.
UGUUAAUUUGAAACUCAGUAGCAUGGAUACAGAUAGUGAUUAUAGCCUGUGAAUCUGCUAAUAAUAUUUAUUCCAAUAAUCUUUGGCACUUCUCCCAGAAGAUUUUUCAGAUUCAUCUGUGUGGAUUAAAGUUCAUUCUCUUAUCAAAAUGCUGGCUGUGAUUCUCUGGCUAUGAAAGGUGUGUUUUUGCCCUUCUGUUUUCAUGAGCAAAGUCCUGCCUUCAUUUCUUAAUGAGUGUUCCUUUGUUUUUCUUCCUUCCGCCUCCUCACACUGAACUUGUCAAUUUAGAUAGGAAAACACUGUACUGUGCAGAAUAAAAUAAAAACAUCUCCAUGUAUGGUUGGACAAACUUAUUUUUAAACUUAGGCAUUUGGUGUAACACUUCAUAUUAGGGAAUAAAGUUCUGAUAAGGCUAGUGGAAAUGGAGUUCUUUAGAGGACUAUUUCAUAAUUUAAACGUUUUAGCGUGUUAUUAGGGUAAAAGUAUGUUUCAAUAUCUUGAGUACAACUCUGGCUUAACAUAGUAUUUUUUUCCUGUGAAAACUUUCAUUUCACUAGAAAUUUAUUUCAGGAGAACAAAACAGACGUGUGUGUGUGGGUGUGUUGCAUAUGUCUUUGCUGGUGGAUUAGGGUGGGUAGAGACAUAUUGUUGGAUCUUGUUCUUUGAUCCAUCCUGCCACUCUGCGUCUUUUGAUUGGGGAGUUCAAUCCAUUUACAUUUAGAGUGAUUAUUGAGACGUGGGGGCCUACCACUACCAUUUUGUGUCUUGUUUUCCGGUUUUCUUCAGUUUCCUUUGUUUCUCGUCCCAUGGUUUAAUCUGUUCUGAUGUAGAGCUGCUACUCUCUGUUGUUGUCCUUCUACUUAUCUCCUCUGCUCUUGGUUUUGUAGCCCCUUUCCUUUUUUGGAUUUUUCAGGAAUGAGGGUUUUUCCUGAGGAUUUCCUGAAGAGGAGGUUUUGUGACAAUGAACUCCCUUAAUUUUUGUUUAUCUGGGAAAGUUUUUAUUUCUCC